This 251-nucleotide ribosomal RNA is filed under the name uncultured bacterium. RNAcentral describes it as "partial 16S ribosomal RNA". It matches the Rfam family "Bacterial small subunit ribosomal RNA", at positions 88 to 339 of the family's 1533-position model. The record is from RNAcentral.
AGAUUUAGUGGCGAACGGGUGAGGAUCACGUGAGAAACCUGUCCUGGACUCUGGGAUAACAGUUGGAAACGACUGCUAAUACCGAAUGACGUCGGAGAACCGCAUGGUUCACUGACGAAAGGAAAUCCGGUUUGGGAGGGUCUCGCGGCCUAUCAGCUAGUUGGCGGGGUAAUGGCCCACCAAGGCAACGACGGGUAGCUGGUCUGAGAGGAUGGUCAGCCACACUGGGACUGAGACACGGCCCAGACUCC